This is an RNA transcript of Mytilus californianus (California mussel), 8199 nucleotides long. It is a transcript of the gene named phosphatidylinositol 3,4,5-trisphosphate 3-phosphatase TPTE2-like, with no coding region annotated. The record is from RefSeq and is a predicted model, not a curated record. Lineage: Eukaryota; Metazoa; Mollusca; Bivalvia; Mytilida; Mytilidae. The transcript has 16 exons.
ACACAGAAGAAAUUUUUACAUUUAAUAAUUUUAUUCUUUUUAAAAUAAACCUGAUGGUCAACUGAUGAUGAACAGGGAAACAACUGGAGAAGAUAAAGUGACUGUAAACAUAGGUGAAGUGGAUCCUAAAAAUGAGAAAGAGGCAAAUGGUUAUGAAAAUGAUGGUCAGAAUGAGGCUACAGAAGAAGAUGGUGACAUAUUUAUAGUGAUGGGUAAAGAUGUAGAUCAAGAUUUAGAAGGACCAGUCCCAACAGACAAAUUUAUACACCAUGAUGAAGAUGAUCCAGCAUAUUUUGACUAUCCUAAGACAAAAAUUGGGAGAUUGAGGUUUAGGAUAGGAUCUGUGAUGGAGAAUGUAUGGUUUCGUUUGUUUACUAUUAUGUUGAUUAUAGCAGACUUCAUCAUUGUUAUUGUGGAUAUGGCAUCAGGUCCCAAGACACAUUUCCAUGACGAACUAGAAAUUACAUCUAGAUGUAUUAUAACUUAUUUUGUGAUAGAAAUUUUCUUGAGGAUAUUUUAUAAAGGAAAGAGAUUUUUCCACUCCUGGGCAGAUGUACUCGAUAUGAUUAUUGUACUUGUUACCUUUAUAAUUGAUUGGGCCCUCAGUGACUACGGCAGACUUGGUGUUGCUGGAAGAUCAGUCAGAAUUAUACGUAUUGUUAGAAGUAUAUACAUCAUGUAUUCAGAUUUUAGACGGUUUAAGAAAGUAACGAGACGAAUUAUAUCACAAAACAAACGUAGAUAUGUUAAGGAAGGAUUUGAUCUAGAUCUUUGUUAUAUAACAGAGAGAGUUAUAGCAAUGUCAUUUCCAUCUUCUGGUGUUAGAGCUUUGUACAGAAAUCCCAUUGGGAAAGUUGGGAAGUUUUUAGACACAAAACAUCAAGAUCACUACAGAGUGUAUGAUCUCUGCAGUGAAUUAAACUACAGUGAGAAUAUAUUCCAUAAGAGAGUACGCAGAGUCUAUAUACAUGACCACAAUGUUCCUUUAUUAAGUGACAUGACAGAGUUUUGUAAAGAUGUUAGAAUGUGGUUAGCCGAAGAUGAACAAAAUGUGAUAGCUGUCCAUUGUAAAGGGGGCAAAGGUCGCACCGGAACAAUGAUCUGUACAUACCUUAUACAUACUGAACUAUUCCAGGCAGCUGAGGAUAGCCUUAAUUAUUUUGGUGAGAGACGAACAGACAGAAAAGUUGGGAAGACAUUCCAAGGUGUUGAAACUCCUAGUCAGAGUAGAUAUGUGGGAUACUAUGAGAAAGUGAAGUAUGAUCUGAAUGAGGAGAUGCCUCCUCCUAAAUAUCUUAAAAUAGAAUCGGUUAAAAUAACAUCUAUUAAAGGUGUAGGCAAUGGUGAUGGUUCAGAUUUAGCUAUGCAGAUAUUUUUAGGUUACUCUCCUGAGUAUUCACAAAUUGACUUCAAACAGCAGUCAGAUUGCAAGGUUGAGCACAAUAAAGAAGAAGAUUAUAUAUUGGUGACAUUCAAUGACAAACCAGUGGUCACAAAUGACGUCAAGAUCAGAUUUGUAUCGAAAGCUAGAAAUAUACCAAAGGUUUAUGAUAACUGUGCAUUUUAUUUCUGGUUCUACACUGCAUUUAUUGAAGACAACAGAUUAUUCCUAACCAGGGAUGAGAUAGAUAACCCUCACAAGAAGAAGGCACAGAAAGUGUUCCGAGAGACAUUUAGUAUUGAGAUGUUGUUUAGUGAUGCUGAUGGUUCAUAGCCUAACUGAUCAAAGUGGUAUGAUUGGGAACGACAGUGUCCUGGUGCUUACAGAUCAAGUUUUUUAGAUUUAUAUAUAAUAGAAUUAUGUAAUCUUAUGAAAAACAUGAUUAAAAUUUAAUUGAAAUCAUUUCAUUUAUAUUUUAUUUGAUAGAUUAUUACUUACAUUUUUUAGACAUAGGUUGAUCACAUGGAUUUUUAUUGCUUAUUGCUUCAUAACACAAUUUUACUGAAAUUUUAAACGCAAACUGUUUUGAUGCCAAAAAUGUACUAAAUAUUUUACUGCUUACAAUAUAUUUUCAAUCUUAUGCAUUGUUACAAUGAGAUGAUGAUUUCUUAUGCUCUGAUAUGUACAAAAGGUACAAGUAAUCCAACAAAAUAUCUUUUAUAUCAGGAUCAUUUUUCAUUAAUGAAUGGUGUUGAUAUAUCUUUCUUUAUUAUGAAAGUUAAAUAAAUAAAUAAAACAAUGAGGCAGACUUACCAUUUUUCCACCCCUGUCAUUGAAAGAGUGUGUGAAUUGUAUUUAUAUUCCAAAUAUAUAGCACCAACGUUAAACUUAAAAGAAAAAAAAUGGUUUGGUUCCAAAUGACUCAUGAAGUUUGUUCAACAAAAUGUUAUUGGAUGUAAGGCAUAAUUAAGUUGUAUAGAACUUAUAAAACAGCAGAAUUGAUACUAAUAAAUUAGUGUCUGAUUGGGAAUAAGUUGUUUAAAGGUUGGUGAUAAAUGUAUCUUAAAAAUGUAUGGAAUAAGUGAUAUGAGAAAGUACCACAUUCAGACAUAGUUACUACACAUUCCCACCUAUGCAAUAAUUAAAGGGCAUUUUGUAUGAAUUUUGUAUAAACAAUUUUUUAUAGUCUGGACAAAUACUUUAGAUAUAAUGUAUAUUUUAAUAUUAUCAGUUGCUCAGUAGCUAGAAAUAUUAUUCUCGUAUUAUUUUUGUAAUUGCUUCUUAUUGGUUGUAUUUUAAAGAAAAAAAUAAUUAAAUGGCUUUGAAAGAACUUUAAUGAUUAACUUAGUUCAAAGACAUUGUUUGUUGCCAAAUGUGAUUAUGAAUAUACUUGUAUUAAUUUUUGGCUGAUAAGCUUAGUUUUAAGAAAAUUUAGUUUCCUGUUUUCUAUCGUGCUAUAUAUAGAAUAACCAUACAUUGUCUCGAAUUAUAAAUUUUAUUUGUACAAGGCUUAGAAACAGGUAGAAAGCGAGGCUUUGCCAAGCAUUUCUAUCCUGUUGUGAGCAGAGUACAAAUACAAUUUAUAUUUCUAGACAAUGCUUUAUAUACUGCAACUCCUACAACUGUUCCAAAUGAAAUAUUUAUGGUAAAAAACAUCAUUUUUGAAUUUGGAGCGAACGAUGUAAAAAUUCUGCGAACCUGUACUUCUAAUGACGUCAUAAAUAAUAAUUCUACGGAAACGCAUUGUCAACGUCAUAAACAAUGCGAUAUGCGGUCAGUGACUGUAUAACACAAAUGAUUAUACGGUCAAUGCAAUUUGACUGCAAAUAACACAGCUGCAGUAUACAGUUGGCUAUUGAGAUGUGUACAGUACACUUGUCAACAUCAAACCAAUUAAAAACUUUAGAAGACAAGAAAAUAUUUUAACCCUUUUAACAUUAUUUUAUUUUCAUAUUCUUCAAGAAAAAAUAAUUUGUUAUGACUAUUGGUGUGUUUGUGAUGGGGAUGGGGGUAGGUUGAGGAUAUUGAUACAAUGUAGAUUUACUCUGAAAAGUUGAGGAUAUUUAUACAAUGUAGACUUACUCUGAAAAGUUGAGGAUAUUUAUACAAUGUAGAUUUACUCUGAAAAGUUGAGGAUAUUUAUACAAUGUAGACUUACUCUGAAAAGUUGAGGAUAUUUAUACAAUGUAGAUUUACUCUGAAAAGUUGAGGAUAUUUAUACAAUGUAGACUUACUCUGAAAAGUUGAGGAUAUUUAUACAAUGUAGAUUUACUCUGAAAAGUUGAGGAUAUUUAUACAAUGUAGAUUUACUCUGAAAAGUUGAGGAUAUUUAUACAAUGUAGACUUACUCUGAAAAGUUGAGGAUAUUUAUACAAUGUAGACUUACUCUGAAAAGUUGAGGAUAUUUAUACAAUGUAGACUUACUCUGAAAAGUUGAGGAUAUUUAUACAAUGUAGAUUUACUCUGAAAAGUUGAGGAUAUUUAUACAAUGUAGAUUUACUCUGAAAAGUUGAGAAUAAGAUGGGGUUUUGAUCACCUUCCCUUUUCAACCAAAAAAUGGAAAAAUCAUUUUUGAAACAAAACAUAUACAUAUACCAUGUAUUGGGUUUUAAAUUUCCAACAUUGCUUAUUUCAAACCAAUCUACACCUUUCCUCUAUGUGUUUUCUCCAUUUCUCUGCAAAUUGUAUGUAAAGUGUUCAUUUGAUUUAGUAAUUUCUCUAAUUUACAUAUUGGUCAAGACAAUAGUUAUAAUACCCAUACAAAGAAGUUAUAUAAUGUUAUUGGCCUAACUGUAAGUCUGUUUUUCCGUCAGUUUGUCUGUCUGUUCGUCCGUCAGUUUGUCUGUCUGUUCUUCUGUCAGUUUGUCUGUCUGUUCGUCCAUAAUGACUUUGUUAACCCAUUUUAUUUUGUCUUUGCUGCAUUACAGAUAUUGAAAGAUUUAGUUAUGGACCUAGGCUGAACAUUCAAAACUUUUUUAACGAUUUUAUUUUGAACUUGGAUGUGGGUAUGUACUAGAAAUUGUCUGUCUAUCCCCUGGUUUUGUUUGACCCAUAUUGCUCAAUAGUUUACUGUGUAAUGUUAAGUGGCAUGUUGUAUGUGCUUGUCUAUUUUAGCCGUUGUGUUGUCUUUCUUCCAUUAAUUAUUGUUUAUUGAAAGUUCACCUGGUGCUCUAGGUUAGUCCUAUAAUAAAAUUAACUUACCUUCCCUCUCCCCUUGAAACACAAAUAAACAACAAUUUUUACCUGAAACAUAUGCAAUAUACCUUUAAUCAUUGUUUUUUUUUUUCAACAUAUAAAUGUUUUGUAUAGAACAAGGUUGUAAAAUAGGUUGUAUAAUAUAACUUUUAUAAUUUUUCUAGUCAGGAAAAGUGCCUUGUUGUUUGUUAAUAUUUUUACUAGUUUAUAAAUAUUGUAUACUGAUGUAUAAUGUAUUUUUAUAUGUUAUAAAGAUGUCUUUUAUUCUGGAAAUAUUUUGCUACUCUUUUAAUAAGUAAUCUCUCUCUUUACCGUAGAAAGGCUUGUAUAGUCCGCGGUUUUAUUUUCCAAAAUUGGACCUUCCAGAUGGGGUGCGGACUAUAGAGUACAAUAAGCAAGAAAUAAGAGAAAAAUUUCAAUUUCGCGGGCGAGGUGGUUUGUUUACGUUCCGCCAUCUUUGUUAUUUAUAUUGUAGAGGGCGCUCUUAUCAUUUUUCAAACUAAUAAUUUUAACUCAUCCAUAUUAAUAAGUUAUUUCUAUUCAAUAUCAAAUAGAUAAAUAUAAAAACUAAACCUUUCAUUACAAAUUUCUCGUUUCUUUUCAAUGCAUUGGUUAUAGUAAACUGGUAUCUGCUUGAUUGAAACGAUACAAACAUAGUGAAAAAGACAACCGUAAACCAGCUUAGAAUUUGUAAACUACAAAACGUAAUCGGUUAUUGUUCGUUCCGUUUUGGUGUUUCAUACUGACUAAUAUGGUUUGUAUUAGCUUAAGACCCUUCAAACAUUAAUGUGAUAGAUAUAUUAAAGACUGUUUUACAAAAGGAUGGAACUGUUUUACUUUCAAAGUCGUAUUAUAGUGAUAUCUGUUAUGUACGGAUUUCGACUCUCACCUGUUAGUUUCUUCUUUUACACGUGCUUUUUAAACUUCCUGUUUAAACAUACACAAGUUUCUAAAUUGUUUUUUAAGUGAAUUAAACUUAAUUUAACAAUCAUGAAGCGUUCUAGAAUCAUUUACAAGCAGUGUCGGCUUCUGUUUGAAGAUGGAAAACAGGUUUUCUAAGAAAAUACCACAAACGACCGCACAGGAUUUGAAAUUACCGGAGUUUCAUUAGACCUUUUCUAACAGUUACAAAAAGUUUUUUUACCUAAAAUUUCGUGGGGAGAAGGGGGUGCGGACUAUGUACCAGUGCGAACUAUACAAGCCUUUCUAUGGUAUAUAUAAAAAACUCCACAAUUGAAUAUAAUAAAAUCAAUUUAUUAUUUGGCUGCAAGUUUUGGUGAAUUUUGUGAUAAAACAAAAUAACUAUUUCGAUAUAAAAAAAAAUACUUCUUUUAUGUUGAUAACUUGUUUAAUAUCAAACCGCAAAUUAAAAACAACACUGAUUUUUCUACAAACCAUGAAAAGGUGGAAAUUGAAGUUAUGAAUAAAAGUGUUGCACAGAAUCACUGAAAGUAAAAGUACUCCAUAUUUUUAGUGAACAGCAUAUACAUUAUUGGUUUGUAUAUUUGGAAAAACAAACCCAGUUUUAUUUUGGUCCUAUCUGUAAUAUCUAUCAAAACAAACCAGUCUUUUUUUAAUAUAAACUUGUUUAUCAGAGAAUUAACCAGAACGUGGCAUGUUAAUGAUAUGUUUUCCAUUCCAUUGUCAAAGAAUAUAUAAUUUCAAAUUGAAACUGAAUGAUUAAUUCAAAUAACUGUCAUCAAAUACUAAAUACUGUAUUUUGAAAAUUUUGGCAAGAAAAACUUAAGCCUCGAACCAACACAGCACAAAUUUCACGGUACCCAGUAAAAAUAUUAAAAGAGUUAAUCUGCACUUUUUAAGACAGUUUUUGUUUGAAAUACUUAUUAUUUACAAGACAUUUUUACCAUAGUUUUUUUCUAUAUUGCUCUAGUGUCCAGAUUAAACUUAUAAUUAUAAUAAUAAUAUUGUUUUGGAUGAACUUUUCAAUAGGUUCUUCUGUAUAUACAGGAAUUUUGGUUUUAGAUUCAGAUGAUAUUUUAUGUUGCAGUUAACUGUAAAUUUUAGUCAUGAUCUUGACCUUAAUUUCAUGCUCCAGUGGAUAUGUAGAUUUUUUUAGGAUUAGUUCAUUUCCACAGUUGCUAUGUGUGACAGGUCAACAAUAUUUUUUUUGUAUGUGAUACUGACAUUCUAUAUGACAUAAAGGUGAUAUUUUGACCUGUAUGUAAAACCUUUUCUCUAAUUCUUAACCGAUUUAUCCUUUUUCUGACCUGUUGAUUAUUUUUAUUUAAUCAACGUGUGGUUUGAUUGAUAUCAGUUUUUCAUUUGUCAAAAUUCAAUUAUGACAUCAACUCGUCUUGCUUUCCUCUGAAUUUCUAAUUGUGACAUCACGAAAAAAGGUGACCAUACCUGGUGAUGUAACAUAGAAAGAACACAUCUUUUUGCAGAUCAUUGGAAAAGAAGGAUUAAGUUUGUCUGCAUAUCGCCUAAAAAUCAUUAGAGAAACAGAUUCUACCAUCAAAUCUCAUGCAAUACGAUAUAUCUCCACUCUCGACAGUUAAAUUUUAAAUAUUUAAAAUGCUCGGCAAGCCUUGUGUUUUGAAUUUGAAAAUUUAACUGUUUCUAGUGGAUAAAUGUCGUAUCACACUCGAUGCAGUGGUAGAAUCUAUAUUUAACAUUCACAAUGUUUUUACAAUAUUUAUACUGUUUCCAGUUAUUUUUAUGAAUAAGCAAAACAAUUUAGUGUGUUAACCUUGUCACAUUCUUGCUUUAUAAAUCGUUUCUACCGGUAUAUUUAUUUGUCUCUGUUCGUGUUUUGGAUUGUUUAGUUGUGAUGAUAAUUAAUUCUGAUGAAAUUCAGAGAUUCAUAAUUGAAAAUUGUCAUUGUCUAUAAAUAAUGCUCAAUAAAUAUUUAUAUGUGAUAAAAUGACAUAAAAGGGUACAUUUUAUUUUUUCUUUAAUGUAAUUGUAAAAAGGUCUGAAAAUAAUAAAAGAUAUUAUUUUAAGGAACAACGAUUUGUACGAUGUGAAGACUUAUAAAUUUGCAUCUUUAUUCUUAUUUUAAAUAAUGCUCAGUCACUUAGGGUAUGUUUAAAGAAUGUUUAUCAGAUGAACCCUGACCUACUUGUAAGAUUGCUGCCCCAAGUAUUGAUUUUAUAUAAUGAUUUAACAAUUUUUGCCAGUGCUGGAUUUUGAAAAUUUUAUCUACAUUCAAUUUUCAAUGCAUUAUUUCUUUGUAUAAAAAUAUAUUAUGUUCAAGGUUCUCAAAUUUUAUGAUCAUAUCUUAUAUAUUCAUUCCACUGGUUGUUGAAUGUGGUUUUGUAAUUUAUAUGUAGUGACUUCAUUAUAUUUAAUAACAUAUAUUGAUGAUAUAACCUGUUAUAACCUUGUUAUAUUCAUAAAAACAUUGCAUGGAGAUUCGUUAUUCUCAACACUGGCCAUAGGUACCAGGCGAGUGAUACCUGUGCUUUUGAACCUCUAGUUACAAAAUGUUUUAAUUAUUAUUAAAGUCUACCUCAAUCACAGUGAUUCUGGAAUGGUUGUGAUAUUUUAUUUUUUUAAGUGAAGGUUUGUUUUAGUGUACAAAUUUUAUGUAAUUUUCUUACCUAUUUUAGUUUUAUUAUUAUAUUUAUAAAUAUAUUCCUGACUUUUAAUACGAUAUAAAU